This 448-nucleotide ribosomal RNA is filed under the name uncultured organism. Its description in RNAcentral is "partial 16S ribosomal RNA". It matches the Rfam family "Bacterial small subunit ribosomal RNA", at positions 333 to 797 of the family's 1533-position model. The record is from RNAcentral.
ACACUCCUACGGGAGGCAGCAGUGGGGAAUAUUGGACAAUGGGCGCAAGCCUGAUCCAGCCAUGCCGCGUGAGUGGUGAAGGCCCUAGGGUUGUAAAGCUCUUUCACCGGUGAAGAUAAUGACGGUAACCGGAGAAGAAGCCCCGGCUAACUUCGUGCCAGCAGCCGCGGUAAUACGAAGGGGGCUAGCGUUGUUCGGAUUUACUGGGCGUAAAGCGCACGUAGGCGGACUAUUAAGUCAGGGGUGAAAUCCCGGGGCUCAACCCCGGAACUGCCUUUGAUACUGGUAGUCUUGAGUUCGGGAGAGGUGAGUGGAAUUCCGAGUGUAGAGGUGAAAUUCGUAGAUAUUCGGAGGAACACCAGUGGCGAAGGCGGCUCACUGGCUCGAUACUGACGCUGAGGUGCGAAAGCGUGGGGAGCAAACAGGAUUAGAAACCCUGGUAGUCCCA